UACGUACCGUACGAACGUUAUUCGGAAUUACUGGGCUUAAAGGGUUUGUAGGCGGCCUUGUAAGUCAGGUGUGAAAUCCCUCGGCUCAACCGAGGAAUAGCGCUUGAUACUGCAAGGCUUGAGGGAGACAGGGGUAAGCGGAACUGAUGGUGGAGCGGUGAAAUGCGUUGAUAUCAGGAGGAACACCGGUGGCGAAGGCGGGUCUCUGGGCAUUAACUGACGCUGAGGAGCGAAAGCAUGGGGGAGCGAACAGG
This 254-nucleotide ribosomal RNA is filed under the name uncultured bacterium. RNAcentral describes it as "partial 16S ribosomal RNA". It matches the Rfam family "Bacterial small subunit ribosomal RNA", at positions 524 to 776 of the family's 1533-position model. The record is from RNAcentral.